RNAcentral lists this ribosomal RNA (2886 nucleotides) under Sulfuritalea sp. RNAcentral describes it as "23S ribosomal RNA". It matches the Rfam family "Bacterial large subunit ribosomal RNA". Lineage: Bacteria; Pseudomonadati; Pseudomonadota; Betaproteobacteria; Nitrosomonadales; Sterolibacteriaceae. The record is from RNAcentral.
GGUCAAGUGACUAAGUGCAUGUGGUGGAUGCCUUGGCGAUUACAGGCGAUGAAGGACGUUGUAGCCUGCGAAAAGCUGCGGGGAGCUGGCAAACAAGCUUUGAUCCGCAGAUGUCCGAAUGGGGAAACCCACCCCGCAAGGGGUAACCCAGACUGAAUACAUAGGUCUGAGGUGGCGAACCCGGCGAACUGAAACAUCUAAGUAGCCGGAGGAAUAGAAAUCAACCGAGAUUCCCUAAGUAGUGGCGAGCGAACAGGGACCAGCCUGCAAGAGAUAACUAGUCUGUUAGUGGAACGCUCUGGAAAGUGCGGCCGUAGUGGGUGAUAGCCCCGUACGCGAAAACAGAUUAGCGAGACUGAGCUUGCGACAAGUAGGGCGGGACACGUGAAAUCCUGUCUGAAGAUGGGGGGACCAUCCUCCAAGGCUAAAUACUCGUAAUCGACCGAUAGUGAACCAGUACCGUGAGGGAAAGGCGAAAAGAACCCCGGGAGGGGAGUGAAAUAGAUCCUGAAACCGCAUGCAUACAAACAGUGGGAGCCUCAGCAAUGGGGUGACUGCGUACCUUUUGUAUAAUGGGUCAGCGACUUACGUUCAGUAGCGAGCUUAACCGAAUAGGGGAGGCGUAGCGAAAGCGAGUCUGAAUAGGGCGAUUCAGUUGCUGGGCGUAGACCCGAAACCAGAUGAUCUAUCCAUGGCCAGGAUGAAGGUGCCGUAACAGGUACUGGAGGUCCGAACCCACUAACGUUGAAAAGUUAGGGGAUGAGCUGUGGAUAGGGGUGAAAGGCUAAACAAAUCUGGAAAUAGCUGGUUCUCCCCGAAAGCUAUUUAGGUAGCGCCUCAUGUAUCACCACCGGGGGUAGAGCACUGUAAUGGUUGGAGGGGUCAUUGCGAUCUACUCCGCCAUAGCAAACUCCGAAUACCGGUGAGUGCGAUCAUGGGAGACAGACAGUGGGUGCUAACGUCCAUUGUCAAGAGGGAAACAACCCAGACCGCCAGCUAAGGUCCCCAAGCCAUGGUUAAGUGGAAAACGAAGUGGGAAGGCAUAGACAGUCAGGAAGUUGGCUUAGAAGCAGCCAUCCUUCAAAGAAAGCGUAAUAGCUCACUGAUCGAGUCGUCCUGCGCGGAAGAUGUAACGGGGCUCAAACCAUGCACCGAAGCUGCGGAUAUCCGUAAGGAUAUGGUAGGGGAGCGUUCUGUAGGUCUGCGAAGGUGAGGGGUAACCCUUGCUGGAGAUAUCAGAAGUGCGAAUGCUGACAUGAGUAGCGAUAAAGCGUGUGAAAAGCACGCUCGCCGAAAGCCCAAGGUUUCCUGCGCAACGUUCAUCGGCGCAGGGUGAGUCGGCCCCUAAGGCGAGGCCGAAAGGCGUAGUCGAUGGGAAACGGGUCAAUAUUCCCGUACCGAUCUGUAAUGCGAUGGGGGGACGGAGAAGGUUAGCUCAGCCAUCUGUUGGAAUAGGUGGUUUAAGCGUGUAGGCGUGCUGCAUAGGCAAAUCCGUGCGGCUUAGUCGAGGCGUGAUGACGAGGAUCUUCGGAUCUGAAGUGAGUGAUACCCAGCUUCCAGGAAAAGCCUCUAAGCUUCAGUUACAGAUUGACCGUACCGCAAACCGACACAGGUGGGCAGGAUGAAAAUUCUAAGGCGCUUGAGAGAACUCAGGAGAAGGAACUCGGCAAAUUGAUACCGUAACUUCGGGAGAAGGUAUGCCCCGGUAGCGUGAAGCCCCUGCGGGUGGAGCGUGAUGGGGUCGCAGAGAAUCGGUGGCUGCAACUGUUUAAUAAAAACACAGCACUCUGCAAAGGCGAAAGCCGACGUAUAGGGUGUGACGCCUGCCCGGUGCCGGAAGGUUAAGUGAUGGGGUGCAAGCUCUUGAUCGAAGCCCCGGUAAACGGCGGCCGUAACUAUAACGGUCCUAAGGUAGCGAAAUUCCUUGUCGGGUAAGUUCCGACCUGCACGAAUGGCGUAAUGAUGGCCACACUGUCUCCUCCUGAGACUCAGCGAAGUUGAAAUGUUUGUGAAGAUGCAAUCUCCCCGCGGCUAGACGGAAAGACCCCAUGAACCUUUACUGUAGCUUUGCAUUGGACUUUGACGGGACUUGUGUAGGAUAGGUGGGAGGCUGUGAGGCGUGGUCGCCAGAUCGCGCGGAGCCGACGUUGAAAUACCACCCUGGUGUCGUUGAGGUUCUAACCUUGGUCCGUGAAUCCGGAUCGGGGACCGUGCAUGGCAGGCAGUUUGACUGGGGCGGUCUCCUCCCAAAGUGUAACGGAGGAGUACGAAGGUCUUCUAAGCACGGUCGGACAUCGUGCUCAUAGUGCAAUGGCAAAAGAAGGCUUGACUGCGAGUCCCACAAGACGAGCAGGUGCGAAAGCAGGUCAUAGUGAUCCGGUGGUUCUGUAUGGAAGGGCCAUCGCUCAACGGAUAAAAGGUACUCUGGGGAUAACAGGCUGAUUCCGCCCAAGAGUUCAUAUCGACGGCGGAGUUUGGCACCUCGAUGUCGGCUCAUCACAUCCUGGGGCUGUAGCCGGUCCCAAGGGUAUGGCUGUUCGCCAUUUAAAGUGGUACGUGAGCUGGGUUUAAAACGUCGUGAGACAGUUUGGUCCCUAUCUGCCGUGGGCGCUGGAAAUUUGAGGGUAUUUGCCCCUAGUACGAGAGGACCGGAGUGGACGAACCUCUGGUGUACCGGUUGUCACGCCAGUGGCAUCGCCGGGUAGCUAAGUUCGGAAGAGAUAAACGCUGAAAGCAUCUAAGCGUGAAACUCGCCUCAAGAUGAGAUUUCCCGGGAGUUCAACUCCCCUGAAGGGUCGUCCAAGACCAGGACGUUGAUAGGUCAGGUGUGGAAGCGCAGUAAUGCGUUAAGCUAACUGAUACUAAUUGCCCGUGCGGCUUGACCCU